Molecule: ribosomal RNA, 416 nt
Filed under: uncultured bacterium
Lineage: Bacteria
Description: partial 16S ribosomal RNA
Rfam family: Bacterial small subunit ribosomal RNA
Source: RNAcentral
UGGGGAAUUUUGGACAAUGGGGGCAACCCUGAUCCAGCAAUGCCGCGUGUGUGAAGAAGGCCUUCGGGUUGUAAAGCACUUUUGUCCGGAAAGAAAUCGCCUGGGUUAAUACCCUGGGUGGAUGACGGUACUGGAAGAAUAAGCACCGGCUAACUACGUGCCAGCAGCCGCGGUAAUACGUAGGGUGCGAGCGUUAAUCGGAAUUACUGGGCGUAAAGCGUGCGCAGGCGGUUGUGCAAGACAGAUGUGAAAUCCCCGGGNUUAAACCUGGGAAUGGCAUUUGUGACUGCACGGCUAGAGUGUGUCAGAGGGGGGUAGAAUUCCACGUGUAGCAGUGAAAUGCGUAGAUAUGUGGAGGAACACCGAUGGCGAAGGCAGCCCCCUGGGAUAACACUGACGCUCAUGCACGAAAGCGU